Molecule: ribosomal RNA, 253 nt
Filed under: uncultured bacterium
Lineage: Bacteria
Description: partial 16S ribosomal RNA
Rfam family: Bacterial small subunit ribosomal RNA
Source: RNAcentral
UACGUAGGGACCAAGCGUUGUUCGGAUUUACUGGGCGUAAAGCGCACGUAGGCGGCUAUUCAAGUCGGGGGUGAAAGCCCGGGGCUCAACCCCGGAACUGCCCUCGAAACUAGAUAGCUAGAAUCUUGGAGAGGCGAGUGGAAUUCCGAGUGUAGAGGUGAAAUUCGUAGAUAUUCGGAAGAACACCAGUGGCGAAGGCGACUCGCUGGACAAGUAUUGACGCUGAGGUGCGAAAGCGUGGGGAGCAAACAGG